This is a long non-coding RNA of Xiphophorus couchianus (Monterrey platyfish), 680 nucleotides long. RefSeq lists it as uncharacterized. The transcript has 4 exons. Lineage: Eukaryota; Metazoa; Chordata; Actinopteri; Cyprinodontiformes; Poeciliidae. The record is from RefSeq and is a predicted model, not a curated record.
CACCUGCGCAGCUACGCCAUCCUCAGCUGUCCUAAACAGAUUAAAGAAACAUAUGUAAACACGUGCUCGGACGCGUACGUGCAGUCUCCCAACACACAUGGUCCUCGUCUACUUCUCAAAGCGCUCCAACGCCACGCCGAAGCCAGGAACCAUCAGAUAAACGGUCGUUUUGUUGACCCCGAGAGAAUGGUCUGCAGCUUUAAAUCCUCAGAGUCUGCUGGGACUCAAAGACACAGAGGAGAGGGUCUUCCUCAAGGCACAUCGUCAGACUUCUUCACACACAACAGGAAAGGAGGUGGAGAGAGGCCACUUAUCUUCCUCUCCAAUGUGUUCGCCCUCGCCACGAUUUCCACAGAGAGCCAGAGCUGCAGAACCUGCAUCUGGACUCUGUGCAGUUCCAGACUGACUGAGUCAGGGGUGAAGAAAGAGACAGCAGUCAACGCCGAGUCCAAAAACAAAACCACGGAACUAUCAACAGCAGACCAAAGCUUGGGGAUCCCAGCGGAGACAAACUCCACACCGGCUAAUGUCUUUAGCAGGUAUCGAGGAUAGAGCAGAGGGAUCUCCAGCAUCUUGGUGUUGGAUUGCAUGACUUCGUGGCUGGCAGUGGAGACGGUUUUGCCGGUGAUCCGGUGGACCUGGUAGAAGGCAUGCGGUCGCAGGAGGCGAUCGUCUGCGGU